Molecule: ribosomal RNA, 1441 nt
Filed under: metagenome
Description: bacterial SSU rRNA
Rfam family: Bacterial small subunit ribosomal RNA
Source: RNAcentral
GGCAGGCUUAACACAUGCAAGUCGAGGGAAAGUGUAGCAAUACAUGAAACCGGCGCACGGGUGCGAAACGCGUAUGCAACCUUUCUAUAACUGGGGCAUAGCUCGGCGAAAGUCGAAUUAAUUCCCCAUAACAAUGUGAAUCGGCAUCAAUUUACAUUUAAAGCUCCGGCGGUUAUAGGUGGGCAUGCGUAUCAUUAGCUUGUUGGUGAGGUAACGGCUCACCAAGGCUACGAUGAUUAGGGGGUCUGAGAGGAUGAUCCCCCACACUGGAACUGAGACACGGUCCAGACUCCUACGGGAGGCAGCAGUGAGGAAUAUUGGUCAAUGGGGGCAACCCUGAACCAGCCAUGCCGCGUGAAGGAUGAAGGCCCUCUGGGUUGUAAACUUCUUUUGUUCGGGACGAAACUUGGGUACGUGUACCCAACUGACGGUACUGAAUGAAUAAGCAACGGCUAACUCCGUGCCAGCAGCCGCGGUAAUACGGGGGUUGCAAGCGUUAUCCGGAUUUAUUGGGUUUAAAGGGUGCGUAGGCGGAUUUGUAAGUCAGUGGUGAAAUCCUGUCGCUUAACUAUAGAACUGCCAUUGAUACUGCUAAUCUUGAGUAUAGUUGAGGUAGGCGGAAUGUGUAGUGUAGCGGUGAAAUGCUUAGAUAUUACACAGAACACCAAUUGCGAAGGCAGCUUGCUAAACUAUAACUGACGCUGAGGCACGAAAGCAUGGGGAGCAAACAGGAUUAGAUACCCUGGUAGUCCAUGCCGUAAACUAUGAUCACUCGAUGUAUGCGAUAUACAGUAUGCGUCUAAGGGAAACCAUUAAGUGAUCCACCUGGGGAGUACGACCGCAAGGUUGAAACUCAAAGGAAUUGACGGGGGCCCGCACAAGCGGAGGAACAUGUGGUUUAAUUCGAUGAUACGCGAGGAACCUUACCUGGGCUCGAACGUGAGACGACUGCUGCUGAAAGGUGGCUUUCCUUCGGGACGUCUUACGAGGUGCUGCAUGGUUGUCGUCAGCUCGUGCCGUGAGGUGUCGGAUUAAGUUCCAUAACGAGCGCAACCCCUAUCGUUAGUUGCCAGCGGAUAAUGCCGGGGACUCUAACGAAACUGCCGGUGUAAACCGUGAGGAAGGUGGGGAUGACGUCAAAUCAGCACGGCCCUUACGUCCAGGGCUACACACGUGUUACAAUGGCAAGUACAAAGGGCAGCUACACCGCGAGGUGAUGCUAAUCUCCAAAACUUGUCUCAGUUCGGAUUGUAGUCUGAAACUCGACUACAUGAAGCUGGAUUCGCUAGUAAUCGCGCAUCAGCCAUGGCGCGGUGAAUACGUUCCCGGGCCUUGUACACACCGCCCGUCAAGCCAUGGGAGCUGGGAGUACCUAAAGUGCGUAACCGCAAGGAGCGCCCUAGGGUAAUACUGGUGACUGGGGCUAAGUCGUAACAAGGUA